AUAGAAUGAAAGUAUAAAAACAAGAUUGGCUUACUAUGGGAACACAGACAGUUCAUCUAGAAAAAUGGUCCAGAAGGUAAAGCAUACGGUGCAGAUGCCGUAAGUGGAUGGAUUUGGUGGUGGGAAUUUGAGGAAGCCCUCUUCAGAUUGCUUCAUUUUCCCAGUGAUACAGGAAGAAAGAAAAUGGCCAGCAAAGGAUAACCAGACACUUGAAAUGUCCUCUAAUCGACAGAGAGAAAAUGAAACUAGUAUAAAUAAGGGACCUGGGUUAUGCAGAAAUGACUCCAGGAGCAAAGGAAAGAUCUACAUCUUUAUCUGGAUCUGUAUCAGCGUCUUUAGUAGAAUGAAAGGAGAUAUUUCACCUGCCUGGACUGUGAAUUGCAAAAGGAACAACAUUCCACACAAAAGAAUUGUCCAAGAACAAGGAAAGAACUUUUAGAAAUUAAAGUAUUUGAAGUCCU
This 461-nucleotide long non-coding RNA is filed under the name Homo sapiens (human). Its description in RNAcentral is "HSALNT0388498". Lineage: Eukaryota; Metazoa; Chordata; Mammalia; Primates; Hominidae. The record is from RNAcentral.